Molecule: ribosomal RNA, 342 nt
Filed under: Triticum aestivum (bread wheat)
Lineage: Eukaryota; Viridiplantae; Streptophyta; Magnoliopsida; Poales; Poaceae
Description: partial small subunit ribosomal RNA
Source: RNAcentral
AUGCAGGCAAACAAACAACGUGCCAAAGUUGAUCCCCUAAUGCAGAAAGCCUAUGUGCAGGCAACCAAACAACUUGCAUAUGUCGCAUAUGAGGCUGUUUUUUCAAAGUCAGGCUGGGUUCAGAUGUGCACGCGCCCUUGGCGGUCGUCUAGUCUGGCUGCGAGGGGGCAGCAGGCCUUCUCUGGCAGCAUAGUUUCAGUGUCACUACGAUUUCAACCAGGGCCACGAGUAUGGCGUACCACACAAUGUCGCUUAGGCAUACACAUAUGUUCCAUUUCAUUAUUUCAUACAGCAGGCAAGCACCAUGCAAGGCCAUGCAAUUGUGCCAAAAGGAAAAGCUGA